This 1123-nucleotide long non-coding RNA is filed under the name Strigops habroptila (Kakapo). RNAcentral's name for it is "lncRNA (ENSSHBG00005003205.1)". The record is from RNAcentral. Lineage: Eukaryota; Metazoa; Chordata; Aves; Psittaciformes; Psittacidae.
GCGCGCGCGCGCGCGGACUACGAGCGCGGGAAGCUCGCGGGCGCGCGGCCGGGUCCUUGCACCAGUGAACAGCUGUGACUUGGUCAGUGGGUUUGAAAGCAGUUACUGCAUUGUAAAGUGUGUGUAUGUUUUAAGAUGAGCACUUUGAUAUACCGUUUCUCCUAAAGGACUCCAUUUCACCGGAUAAUGCCAAGUGAAAAUUCAUGUUAUGGUUGUACAAACAAGAGCAUCUUGAAAAUUGUGGAGCUGCAUACAAGCAAAUGUCAGAUGACAGCUUCUCAUUCCUCAACACAGCUACCACGUGUCAUUGAUGUUGUCUGCUAUUGAAAGAAUGCAAACAAAAUGUGUGCAGAAAAAAAACUGCACAUGGACACAUCCAGGUUCCUGGCACACCUGCCUCUUCUGUUGCCUUCAGUGGAGGAAUCAGUUAUUACUCUGAAAAGAGGAACUGAGGAGGAUGUCUGCAUUUGAGUGUCUGCAGGGUGUCUACAUUUGAGUAAGAUGGUGUUUCCUCAUAUGUGCAUUCUCUUUUUCAGUCUCCAGCUGUUUCAUAUCAUACCCAGUGUAUACACCAGCCAUCUUCCAGCCCUGGUCCUACUGCUGCAGCAGGCAGACCUCAGUCUCUGUAGACUCUGGAGAGUAUCUAGCCUCUCUACUUUUCCUUCUUACUUUUUGUCCAUCAGUCAUCUCUUUAUUCCUGCUUGUUAUCUGCCGAUCUACCCAUACAUUCUCUCUAAUUGUAGUCCCUUCCUAACAUUCUCCUAUUCUUACAUUCCUAUACUUGCUUGCAAAUGGCUGGAGAAUCCUAAUGGUAUAAGUGUGAUGAAUUUACCAGUCAAAAAUAAUGUUAAAAUUAAGUUUAAAAAAAAAAAUAAAUAAGAAAUUAAAGUGAAGAGCAUAUGUUAUGCUCCCCACUUGCUGCCACCAUCUUUUGUAUGCAGGAGUUCACAUUUGGUUCUGUUUUCCUUCCCUUCUACAUUUACAUUUCCUCCACGCACACACAUAUGUUUUCCUUUCUCCAAUCAAUGGUAAGACUUAGCUGCUUAAAUAAAACCACUAGUCUAUUUGUGGGUGUGUAGAAGUAACAUUCAAAAAGAAAAUACCAUCAAUUUUAUCUAUGUAU